This 411-nucleotide ribosomal RNA is filed under the name bacterium enrichment culture clone ALO1_GLFRUDD03F06KJ. Its description in RNAcentral is "bacterial SSU rRNA". It matches the Rfam family "Bacterial small subunit ribosomal RNA", at positions 9 to 420 of the family's 1533-position model. The record is from RNAcentral.
GAGUUUGAUCGUGGCUCAGAUUGAACGCUGGCGGCAUGCCUUACACAUGCAAGUCGAACGGCAGCACGGGAGCUUGCUCCUGGUGGGCGAGUGGCGAACGGGUGAGUAAUGCAUCGGAACGUAUCCUGGAGUGGGGGAUAACGUAGCGAAAGUUACGCUAAUACCGCAUAUUCUGUGAGCAGGAAAGCGGGGGACCUUCAGGCCUCGCGCUCUUGGAGCGGCCGAUGUCGGAUUAGCUAGUUGGUGAGGUAAAGGCUCACCAAGGCGACGAUCCGUAGCAGGUCUGAGAGGAUGAUCUGCCACACUGGAACUGAGACACGGUCCAGACUCCUACGGGAGGCAGCAGUGGGAAUUUUGGACAAUGGGGGCAACCCUGAUCCAGCCAUGCCGCGUGAGUGAAGAAGGCCUCGG